RNAcentral lists this ribosomal RNA (253 nucleotides) under uncultured bacterium. Its description in RNAcentral is "partial 16S ribosomal RNA". It matches the Rfam family "Bacterial small subunit ribosomal RNA", at positions 524 to 776 of the family's 1533-position model. The record is from RNAcentral.
GACGGGGGAUGCAAGCGCUAUCCGGAAUCACUGGGCGUAAAGCGUCUGUAGGUGGUGAUGCAAGUCACUGGUGCAAAACUCUGGCUCAACCGGAGGAAAGCCAGUGAAACUGCAUGACUAGAGUGUGGGAGAGGUAGAAGGAAUUCCCUGAGUAGCGGUGAAAUGCGUAGAUACAGGGAAGAACACCGGAGGCGAAAGCGUUCUACUGGAACACAACUGACAUUGAGAGACGAAAGCUAGGGGCGCGAAUGGG